Molecule: ribosomal RNA, 460 nt
Filed under: uncultured bacterium
Lineage: Bacteria
Description: partial 16S ribosomal RNA
Rfam family: Bacterial small subunit ribosomal RNA
Source: RNAcentral
CCUACGGGUGGCUGCAGUGAGGAAUAUUGGUCAAUGGCCGUAAGGCUGAACCAGCCAAGUAGCGUGAGGGAAGACUGCCCUAUGGGUUGUAAACCUCUUUUAUGCGGGGAUAAAGGUGUCCACGUGUGGAUGUUUGCAGGUACCGCAUGAAUAAGGACCGGCUAAUUCCGUGCCAGCAGCCGCGGUAAUACGGAAGGUCCGGGCGUUAUCCGGAUUUAUUGGGUUUAAAGGGAGCGGAGGCCGGUGUUUAAGGGUGCCGUGAAAUUUUGUGGCUCAACCAUUGGAGUGCGGCGGGAAAUGGUGACCUUGAGUGAGCGGGAGGUAGGCGGAAUUCGUGGUGUAGCGGUGAAAUGCUUAGAUAUCACGAAGAACCCCGAUUGCGAAGGCAGCCUGCCGCAGCGUUACUGACGCUGAAGCUCGAAAGCGCGGGUAUCGAACAGGAUUAGAUACCCGAGUAGUC